RNAcentral lists this unclassified non-coding RNA (314 nucleotides) under plant metagenome. Its description in RNAcentral is "partial contains 5.8S ribosomal RNA, internal transcribed spacer 2, and large subunit ribosomal RNA". The stretch from base 1 to 105 matches the Rfam family "5.8S ribosomal RNA", at positions 50 to 154 of the family's 154-position model. The record is from RNAcentral.
GAAAUGCGAUAAUUAAUGUGAAUUGCAGAAUUCAGUGAAUCAUCGAGUCUUUGAACGCACAUUGCGCCCCCUGGUAUUCCGGGGGGCAUGCCUGUCCGAGCGUCAUUGCUGCCCUCAAGCACGGCUUUUGUGUUGGGCUUCCGUCCCUGGCAACGGGGACGGGCCCAAAAGGCAGUGGCGGCACCAUGUCUGGUCCUCGAGCGUAUGGGGCUUUGUCACCCGCUCCCGUAGGUCCAGCUGGCAGCUAGCCUCGCAACCAAUCUUUUUAACCAGGUUGACCUCGGAUCAGGUAGGGAUACCCGCUGAACUUAAGC